Molecule: ribosomal RNA, 250 nt
Filed under: uncultured prokaryote
Description: partial 16S ribosomal RNA
Rfam family: Bacterial small subunit ribosomal RNA
Source: RNAcentral
UACGUAGGGGGCGAGCGUUAUCCGGAAUUAUUGGGCGUAAAGGGUACGUAGGUGGUUUUCUAAGCGAGGGGUUUAAGGCUAAGGCUUAACCAUAGUUCGCCCCUCGAACUGGAUAACUUGAGUGCUGGAGAGGAAAGCGGAAUUCCUAGUGUAGCGGUGAAAUGCGUAGAUAUUAGGAGGAACACCAGUGGCGAAGGCGGCUUUCUGGACAGUAACUGACACUGAGGUACGAAAGUGUGGGGAGCAAACA